AAAGGAAUUGACGGGGGCCCGCACAAGCAGCGGAGCAUGUUGUUUAAUUCGAAGCAACGCGAAGAACCUUACCAGGUCUUGACAUCGAGGUAAACUUGCAGAGAUGCGAGGUGGCUUCGGCCAACCGAAGACAGGUGGUGCAUGGUUGUCGUCAGCUCGUGUCGUGAGAUGUUGGGUUAAGUCCCGCAACGAGCGCAACCCUUAUGGUCAGUUACUAACACGUGAAGGUGAGGACUCUGACAAGACUGCCGGGGACAACUCGGAGGAAGGUGGGGACGACGUCAAAUCAUCAUGCCCCUUAUGACCUGGGCUACAAACGUGCUACAAUGGUGACAACAAAGAGGAGCGAGACCGUAAGGUGGAGCGGAUCUCAAAAAAGUCAUCCCAGUUCGGAUUGUGGGCUGCAACCCGCCCACAUGAAGUUGGAGUUGCUAGUAAUCGCGGAUCAGCAUGCCGCGGUGAAUACGUUCCCGGGCCUUGUACACACCGCCCGU
Molecule: ribosomal RNA, 494 nt
Filed under: uncultured bacterium
Lineage: Bacteria
Description: bacterial SSU rRNA
Rfam family: Bacterial small subunit ribosomal RNA
Source: RNAcentral